Molecule: ribosomal RNA, 557 nt
Filed under: Aspergillus tamarii
Lineage: Eukaryota; Fungi; Ascomycota; Eurotiomycetes; Eurotiales; Aspergillaceae
Description: eukaryotic LSU rRNA
Rfam family: 5.8S ribosomal RNA (bases 186-339)
Source: RNAcentral
AACUGAAAGGUAGGUCCUUCGCGAGGCCCACCUCCCACCCGAGUUUACAGUAACCUUAGUAGCUUCGGCGGGCCCGCCUUUAAGGCCGCCGGGGGGCAUCAGCCCCCGGGCCCGCGCCCGCCGGAGACACCACGAACUCUGUCUGAUCUAGUGAAGUCUGAGUUGAUUGUAUCGCAAUCAGUUAAAACUUUCAACAAUGGAUCUCUUGGUUCCGGCAUCGAUGAAGAACGCAGCGAAAUGCGAUAACUAGUGUGAAUUGCAGAAUUCCGUGAAUCAUCGAGUCUUUGAACGCACAUUGCGCCCCCUGGUAUUCCGGGGGGCAUGCCUGUCCGAGCGUCAUUGCUGCCCAUCAAGCACGGCUUGUGUGUUGGGUCGUCGUCCCCUCUUCGGGGGGGACGGGCCCCAAAGGCAGCGGCGGCACCGCGUCCGAUCCUCGAGCGUAUGGGGCUUUGUCACCCGCUCUGUAGGCCCGGCCGGCGCUUGCCGAACGCAAAACAACCAUUCUUUCCAGGUUGACCUCGGAUCAGGUAGGGAUACCCGCUGAACUUAAGCAUACA